UGGGGAAUUUUGGACAAUGGGCGCAAGCCUGAUCCAGCAAUGCCGCGUGCAGGAUGAAGGCCUUCGGGUUGUAAACUGCUUUUGUACGGAACGAAAAGCCCUGGGUUAAUACCCUGGGGUCAUGACGGUACCGUAAGAAUAAGCACCGGCUAACUACGUGCCAGCAGCCGCGGUAAUACGUAGGGUGCGAGCGUUAAUCGGAAUUACUGGGCGUAAAGCGUGCGCAGGCGGUUUUGUAAGACAGAGGUGAAAUCCCCGGGCUCAACCUGGGAACUGCCUUUGUGACUGCAAGGCUAGAGUACGGCAGAGGGGGAUGGAAUUCCGCGUGUAGCAGUGAAAUGCGUAGAUAUGCGGAGGAACACCGAUGGCGAAGGCAAUCCCCUGGGCCUGUACUGACGCUCAUGCACGAAAGCGUGGGGAGCAAACAGGAUUAGAUACCCUGGUAGUCCACGCCCUAAACGAUGUCAACUGGUUGUUGGGUCUUAACUGACUCAGUAACGAAGCUAACGCGUGAAGUUGACCGCCUGGGGAGUACGGCCGCAAGGUUGAAACUUAAAGGAAUUGACGGGGUCAUAGCUGUUUCCU
This 585-nucleotide ribosomal RNA is filed under the name uncultured bacterium. RNAcentral's name for it is "partial 16S ribosomal RNA". It matches the Rfam family "Bacterial small subunit ribosomal RNA", at positions 355 to 1375 of the family's 1533-position model. The record is from RNAcentral.